CACACACACACACACACACACACACACUACAGUAGAGAGAGAGAGAGAGAGAGAGAGAGAGAAAAGGGUGGAUGUACCUGUUGGAGGACGAGCUCAUGUGAUCUUGCGCAGGGACACUGAGGAGCCAUAA
Long non-coding RNA from Alosa sapidissima (American shad), 130 nucleotides. RefSeq lists it as uncharacterized. The record is from RefSeq and is a predicted model, not a curated record. The transcript has 2 exons. Lineage: Eukaryota; Metazoa; Chordata; Actinopteri; Clupeiformes; Clupeidae.